RNAcentral lists this ribosomal RNA (484 nucleotides) under uncultured bacterium. RNAcentral describes it as "partial 16S ribosomal RNA". It matches the Rfam family "Bacterial small subunit ribosomal RNA", at positions 30 to 507 of the family's 1533-position model. The record is from RNAcentral.
AUUGAACGCUGGCGGCAGGCCUAACACAUGCAAGUCGAGCGGAUGAAGGGAGCUUGCUCCUGGAUUCAGCGGCGGACGGGUGAGUAAUGCCUAGGAAUCUGCCUGGUAGUGGGGGAUAACGUCCGGAAACGGGCGCUAAUACCGCAUACGUCCUGAGGGAGAAAGUGGGGGAUCUUCGGACCUCACGCUAUCAGAUGAGCCUAGGUCGGAUUAGCUAGUUGGUGGGGUAAAGGCCUACCAAGGCGACGAUCCGUAACUGGUCUGAGAGGAUGAUCAGUCACACUGGAAAUGAGACACGGUCCAGACACCUACGGGAGGCAGCAGUGGGGAAUAUUGGACAAAGGGCGAAAGCCUGAUCCAGCCAUGCCGCGUGUGUGAAGAAGGUCUUCGGAUUGUAAAGCACUUUAAGUUGGGAGGAAGGGCAGUAAGUUAAUACCUUGCUGUUUUGACGUUACCAACAGAAUAAGCACCGGCUAACUUCGUG